Molecule: ribosomal RNA, 1138 nt
Filed under: Candidatus Annandia adelgestsuga
Lineage: Bacteria; Pseudomonadati; Pseudomonadota; Gammaproteobacteria; Enterobacterales; Enterobacteriaceae
Description: bacterial SSU rRNA
Rfam family: Bacterial small subunit ribosomal RNA
Source: RNAcentral
GGAAGGCAGCAGUGGGGAAUAUUGCACAAUGGGCGCAAGCCUGAUGCAGCUAUGUCGCGUGUAUGAAGAAGACCUUAGGGUUGUAAAGUACUUUCAAUAGCAUAAGAAGGUAAUGAAACUAAUAAUUUUGUUAUCAGACGUUAGCUAUAAAAGAAGCACCGGCUAACUCCGUGCCAGCAGCCGCGGUAAUACGGAGGGUGCUAGCGUUAAUCGGAAUUACUGGGCGUAAAGAGCACUUAGGUGGUUUAUUAAGUCAAGUGUGAAAUCCCUAGACUUAAUCUAGGAACUGCAUUUGAAACUAAUAGACUAGAGUUUCGUAGAGGGAGGUAGAAUUCUAGGUGUAGCGGUGAAAUGCAUAGAUAUCUAGAGGAAUAUCAGUGGCGAAGGCGACCUCCUGGACGAUAACUGACGCUAAAAUGCGAAAGCAUGGGUAGCAAACAGGAUUAGAUACCCUGGUAGUCCAUGCUGUAAACGAUGUCGACUAAGAAGUUGAAAGCUUUGACUUAUAAUUUCUGUAGCUAACGCGUUAAGUCGACCGCCUGGGGAGUACGGCCGCAAGGCUAAAACUCAAAUGAAUUGACGGGGGCCUGCACAAGCGGUGGAGCAUGUGGUUUAAUUCGAUGCAACGCGUAAAACCUUACCUGGUCUUGACAUCCACAGAAUUUUAUAGAAAUAUAAAAGUGCAAUUUGAACUGUGAGACAGGUGCUGCAUGGCUGUCGUCAGCUCGUGUUGUGAAAUGUUGGGUUAAGUCCCGCAACGAGCGCAACCCUUGUUUUUUGUUACCAUCAGAUUAAGCUGGGGACUCAAAAGAAACUGCCAGUUAUAAACUGGAGGAAGGUGGGGACGACGUCAAGUCAUCAUGGCCCUUACGACCAGGGCUACACACGUGCUACAAUGGCGUAUACAAAGAGAUGCAAUAUUGUAAAAUAAAGCUAAUCUAUAAAAUACGUCUUAGUUCGGACUGGAGUCUGCAACUCGACUCCACGAAGUCGGAAUCGCUAGUAAUCGUGGAUCAGCAUGCCACGGUGAAUAUGUUUCCAGGCCUUGUACACACCGCCCGUCACACCAUGGAAGUGGGUUGCAAAAGAAGUAGAUUAAUUUAACCUUCUUAACAAGAAAAUAGUUUACCACUUUGUG